UCAUUAAUGAAAUGUCAUCACUUAUUCGUUUGACUAAAUUUAACAUUAGCCACCAAUGAUGUUAUAGUAAAAAGAGGUAGAUAAGUUACUUGAGUUCGUAAAGUGGCGCCGUAAAACUGAGCUAAUUAGCGCACUCAAGUUUAGUCUCGUGAAAGCAUUGGUAACGUUGACUGUGUUUUUUGUUCCGCGAAAUUUCUCUAAAAUGCCGUCCUGUGUUAUGCGACACUGUAGAAACUAUACAAGUAAGACUCCCAAAAGUCUAGGGAUGAUAUGUCAUGCGUUUCCGGCAAAUGAAUUAAGGUGUAACCAAUGGAUAAAUAUUGUACGUAGACAAAGACAUGAAGAGGAUUGGCGGCCAAAUAAUAAUGAACUAAAUGAAAAUAAAAAAAUAAAAUUAUUUGUC
Long non-coding RNA from Bombyx mori (domestic silkworm), 403 nucleotides. RefSeq lists it as uncharacterized. The transcript is spliced from 2 exons. The record is from RefSeq and is a predicted model, not a curated record. Lineage: Eukaryota; Metazoa; Arthropoda; Insecta; Lepidoptera; Bombycidae.